GGGACACUAAGCUAGCUAACAUAGAAACAAAGAAGACAGUAAGCAGGUUUAGAGCAAAGUCCACAGAGUAGAUCCAUGAAAAGAACAUAGGAAGGGAAAAAAGAUAUAUAAAACCAUGAAAGGAUAAAGGAAAAAAGAAAUGUCAAGACUUAAAUCAAGUUAGGUGAAUAAAGGAUAAAAGAUGAUGCCAAGGUUUUGGUAAAGGACAGUCAAGUAAGAUGGAGAAAGAAUUUGGUGGACUAUUUAAUGUUAGUCACCCAAAAAACCAUAGGGAUCUUAAUAUACCAGUGAAACCAAGGAAUGUUAAUUUCAUUUGAAGAAUAAAAUAUCAAAAGUCAAGGAAGGUCUAAAACGGAUGAAGCUAGGUAAAGCGUGUAGGUUAAACAAAA
This 389-nucleotide unclassified non-coding RNA is filed under the name Hevea brasiliensis (rubber tree). Lineage: Eukaryota; Viridiplantae; Streptophyta; Magnoliopsida; Malpighiales; Euphorbiaceae. The record is from RNAcentral.